AGUCGGAAACCGCAGCGCGGGGAGCAAUCCUUGGGNGGCGAAGUGGCGAACGGGGUUGAGUAAAACAUNGGAACGUGCCCAAUCGUGGGGGGAUAACGCAGCGAAAGCUGUGCUAAUACCGCAUACGAUNUACGGAUGAAAGCAGGGGAUCGCAAGACCUUGCGCGAAUGGAGCGGCCGAUGGCAGAUUAGGUAGUUGGUGAGGUAAAGGCUCACCAAGCCUUCGAUCUGUAGCUGGUCUGAGAGGACGACCAGCCACACUGGGACUGAGACACGGCCCAGACUCCUACGGGAGGCAGCAGUGGGGAAUUUUGGACAAUGGGCGCAAGCCUGAUCCAGCCAUGCCGCGUGCAGGAUGAAGGCCUUCGGGUUGUAAACUGCUUUUGUACGGAACGAAACGGCCUUUUCUAAUAAAGAGGGCUAAUGACGUUACCGUNAGAAUAA
This 443-nucleotide ribosomal RNA is filed under the name 2,4-D-degrading bacterium 012. RNAcentral's name for it is "bacterial SSU rRNA". It matches the Rfam family "Bacterial small subunit ribosomal RNA", at positions 60 to 489 of the family's 1533-position model. The record is from RNAcentral. Lineage: Bacteria; Pseudomonadati; Pseudomonadota; Betaproteobacteria; Burkholderiales; Comamonadaceae.